RNAcentral lists this small RNA (58 nucleotides) under Chinchilla lanigera (long-tailed chinchilla). RNAcentral's name for it is "7SK RNA (ENSCLAG00000021598.1)". The record is from RNAcentral. Lineage: Eukaryota; Metazoa; Chordata; Mammalia; Rodentia; Chinchillidae.
AUCUGUCACCCCACGAUCACCAGGGUUGAUUAGGCUGAUCUGGCUGAGUAGGACAGUU